RNAcentral lists this ribosomal RNA (372 nucleotides) under uncultured organism. RNAcentral's name for it is "partial 16S ribosomal RNA". It matches the Rfam family "Bacterial small subunit ribosomal RNA", at positions 526 to 896 of the family's 1533-position model. The record is from RNAcentral.
AGAGGGGUGCGAGCGUUAAUCGGAAUUACUGGGCGUAAAGGGCACGUAGGUGGAUUUGCAAGUUGGGGUGUGAAAGCCCCGGGCUUAACCUGGGAAUGUCAUCCAAAACUGCAAGUCUAGAGUACAGUAGAGGAAAGUGGAAUUUCCGGUGUAGCGGUGAAAUGCGUAGAUAUCGGAAGGAACACCAGUGGCGAAGGCGACUUUCUGGACUGAUACUGACACUGAGGUGCGAAAGCGUGGGGAGCGAACAGGAUUAGAUACCCUGGUAGUCCACGCCGUAAACGAUGAGAACUAGCCGUUGGAGGCCUUGAGUCUUUAGUGGCGCAGCUAACGCGAUAAGUUCUCCGCCUGGGGAGUACGGCCGCAAGGUUA